AAAAACAUGUCCUUUUGUUUUUAAAUAUAAGGUCUAACCUGCCCAAUGAUUUAUAUUUAAUGGCCGCGGUAUAUUAACUGUGCUAAGGUAGCAUAAUCAUUUGUCUUUUAAUUAAAGGCUAGAAUGAAUGGUUGGACGAAGUAUAAGCUUUCUUUAGUUUAAUUUAUGAAUUUAAUUUUUUAGUCAAAAAGCUAAAAUAUAUUUGAGGGACGAGAAGACCCUUUAGAUCUUUAUAUUAUUAAAUAUUUUAUAUUAUGGAUUAUAACUUAUUUUAAUAUUUAAUUUUAUUUGAUUGGGGUGAUUAUAGAAUUUAUAUUAACUUCUAUUAUUUUUAUCAUUAAUUAAUGUUUAUUUGAUCCAGUUUUAUUGAUUAAAAGUUUAAGUUACCUUAGGGAUAACAGCGUAAUUUUUUCGGAGAGUUCAUAUCGAUGAAGAAGUUUGCGACCUCGAUGUUGGAUUAAAAUAAGUUUUAAAGUGCAGUAGCUUAAAAACUAGGUCUGUUCGACCUUUAAUUUUUUACAUGAUCUGAGU
RNAcentral lists this ribosomal RNA (531 nucleotides) under Montina sp. 00002725. RNAcentral describes it as "partial 16S ribosomal RNA". It matches the Rfam family "Bacterial large subunit ribosomal RNA", at positions 1809 to 2610 of the family's 2925-position model. The record is from RNAcentral. Lineage: Eukaryota; Metazoa; Arthropoda; Insecta; Hemiptera; Reduviidae.